Molecule: long non-coding RNA, 544 nt
Filed under: Ananas comosus (pineapple)
Lineage: Eukaryota; Viridiplantae; Streptophyta; Magnoliopsida; Poales; Bromeliaceae
Description: long non-coding RNA (ACOM_LNC015642)
Source: RNAcentral
AAAUGUUAGAAAAUCUCCUUUUUAGGAAACUUUAAAGGGGAAAAUGACCAUUGGAGAACAUAAGAGGAGCUAAUACAGGAGGGGGAUUGCAAGGGGGAAGUUUCCCCCUUGCGUAGUAUUAAUAAAAAGAUAAACUCCCCGGGGGUUGUUAAGGGGGUGCGGCACCCCCUUAUACACCUAACUCUUAAGAUCUGUCCUUUAAGGGCAAUUCAAUACCCUUAAGCUAUAUAAAAAUAAUAGUUUUUAAUUGCAGAUUUCAAUAUUACAUGCAAAUAUAAGAAGCUAAAUGUUGUUAGCAUAUCAUAUCAAUGUGAAAGUAUCAUUUUAUUCCUAAGUAAAAUUUCUAGUCUUAUAUUAUAUAAUAAAACUAGCAUGAAAUAUAUUCCAUGCGGUAUAAUUGUUAGAAAGAAGAUUUGUUUUACUAAUAAAUCAGAAACUUAGGUUCUUGACAAUAAUUUUUAUUAGGGAAAUGAUUAAGUUACUUAAAUCGACUAUACAAUUAGAACUUUUUUGGUUAUUAUUUCAAUUGUUAUUAACACGCGAC